CUGGCCCAGCAGGAUUCGAACCUGCAACCUAGUCCUUAACAGGGACUUGCACUGCCAGUUGUGCUAUGGGCCA
Molecule: transfer RNA, 73 nt
Filed under: Stenotrophomonas virus Jojan60
Lineage: Duplodnaviria; Heunggongvirae; Uroviricota; Caudoviricetes
Description: tRNA-Asn
Source: RNAcentral